Molecule: transfer RNA, 75 nt
Filed under: Cytophagaceae bacterium
Lineage: Bacteria; Pseudomonadati; Bacteroidota; Cytophagia; Cytophagales; Cytophagaceae
Description: tRNA-Val
Rfam family: tRNA
About the family: Transfer RNA (tRNA) molecules are approximately 80 nucleotides in length. Their secondary structure includes four short double-helical elements and three loops (D, anti-codon, and T loops). Further hydrogen bonds mediate the characteristic L-shaped molecular structure. tRNAs have two regions of fundamental functional importance: the anti-codon, which is responsible for specific mRNA codon recognition, and the 3' end, to which the tRNAs corresponding amino acid is attached (by aminoacyl-tRNA synthetases). tRNAs cope with the degeneracy of the genetic code in two manners: having more than one tRNA (with a specific anti-codon) for a particular amino acid; and 'wobble' base-pairing, i.e. permitting non-standard base-pairing at the 3rd anti-codon position.
Source: RNAcentral
GGAAGCAUAGCUCAGUUGGUUUAGAGCGCCGCUUUGACAGAGCGGAGGUCAUGGGUUCGAAUCCCCUUGUUUCCA